UGCCAACGAAACUGCUCAUGGUUAUUCCUGAAGGAAUGAGUUUGUCGUUAGAUCGUCGUAGUGCCUUCAUAACAGAUACGAGUAUGAUAUUAACCGUCGCCCCACAAUCGACGAAAAUUUUGGAGAUUGGAUAACUGAUGUGGUAGAAACUAACACACAAAUUAAACCCUAUAAUUUAGAUGAUUGUAGUAUGAGCAAGUAGGGAUUGUUCUUGGCCAAGGAUAAGGAGGGAUGCUAAUCAACACGAAUUAAACUAAAAAGGUGAAAACUAAGCUAGACUAACACAAAAUAAGAACGGAGGGGUUUUUUGGAUGAAUUUUAACAAAAAAUAAAGUAAAUUGCAGCAAACGAAUUAGGUCUUAUAUGAGAUAUAGGUAAAAAGCUAGCUAGAAGAUUGUUCUCCACACAUCAAACAUAUGCACACAAAUCGAUUUCCAAUUAUUAUU
RNAcentral lists this long non-coding RNA (446 nucleotides) under Malus domestica (apple). RNAcentral describes it as "long non-coding RNA (MDOM_LNC016536)". Lineage: Eukaryota; Viridiplantae; Streptophyta; Magnoliopsida; Rosales; Rosaceae. The record is from RNAcentral.